RNAcentral lists this long non-coding RNA (549 nucleotides) under Triticum aestivum (bread wheat). Its description in RNAcentral is "long non-coding RNA (TAES_LNC020444)". Lineage: Eukaryota; Viridiplantae; Streptophyta; Magnoliopsida; Poales; Poaceae. The record is from RNAcentral.
UAACUAUACAACUAACGCCUGUUAGCACAAGCGUAGAACAUAAAAUAGCUUGUUUAUCCUCUUGGCAAUAAAUUAAAACAGCGAACCCCAGUUUCUAGUUUUGCGUGUUUCGCUCGAAGAAAAAAUGUAAAUGAAAGUGAAAGCUCAGCCCAUUGCAUGAAUAGCUACUAUAUUAUUGGAAUCUGGAAAUUCUGGCUCACAUAUUGUUUGCCUUCAACCUUCGAAAAUUUAAACUGAAGAGUGGAGCGAUGUGGAAACCUAAGUAGCAGCAAUUUGUUUUCUGCUAACCUCCCUCUCAGAUAUCACUUCCUUCACCAACAAAAUAGAUGUGCACCCACAGGAUAAAAAUCCAUGUGUGUAGACCUAGCAAUGCAUGUGUGAGCUCAGAGUGUCGUUUUUUCGGCAAGGACAUGAAAGGUAACCCUUAACUAACCCUUGACAUCUGGCAGAAUUAAACACUACCUGCUUAUGUGCCCUCACCAACACGCUUCAUAUUGAUUUAGGAUGGUCUUGUCUAAAGCUAAAUUGUCUUCAUGUUCAUGCUGCAAU